UGGGGAAUCUUGCGCAAUGGGCGAAAGCCUGACGCAGCCAUGCCGCGUGUAUGAUGAAGGUCUUAGGAUUGUAAAAUACUUUCACCGGGGAAGAUAAUGACGGUACCCGGAGAAGAAGCCCCGGCUAACUUCGUGCCAGCAGCCGCGGUAAUACGAAGGGGGCUAGCGUUGCUCGGAAUUACUGGGCGUAAAGGGCGCGUAGGCGGAUAUUUAAGUCGGGGGUGAAAGCCCAGGGCUCAACCCUGGAAUUGCCUUCGAUACUGGAUAUCUUGAGUUCGGGAGAGGUGAGUGGAAUGCCGAGUGUAGAGGUGAAAUUCGUAGAUAUUCGGCGGAACACCAGUGGCGAAGGCGACUCACUGGCCCGAUACUGACGCUGAGGCGCGAAAGCGUGGGGAGCAAACAG
This 403-nucleotide ribosomal RNA is filed under the name uncultured bacterium. Its description in RNAcentral is "bacterial SSU rRNA". It matches the Rfam family "Bacterial small subunit ribosomal RNA", at positions 355 to 775 of the family's 1533-position model. The record is from RNAcentral.